CAUGAUGUUGGGGAAUCCCAUUCUAGUUGCUUGUAGUACACAUGUAUAUACAGGCACUUGUGCAGCUUUCUAGGAUAAUCAUUGUUGGGUGUCGGUGAACAUUCUUUUGCUUGGAUCUAAACUUCUUUUUGAAACUGACAUUCUUGAUCUCUUGUUAUGAGAUCAUAAAAGCAUGGACAUGUUCUUUGUUUGUCAAGCACCAUCGAAGCUGAAAUAUUAUGACCAAGAUUACGAGUUGCCUAUGAGGUUUCUAAGAUAACCAUUGUUGGGAGCAAAGCUGAAAUAUUAUUUGUUUGUUUUGUGG
This 304-nucleotide long non-coding RNA is filed under the name Elaeis guineensis (African oil palm). RNAcentral describes it as "long non-coding RNA (EGUI_LNC015279)". Lineage: Eukaryota; Viridiplantae; Streptophyta; Magnoliopsida; Arecales; Arecaceae. The record is from RNAcentral.